Molecule: long non-coding RNA, 2497 nt
Organism: Panthera uncia (snow leopard)
Lineage: Eukaryota; Metazoa; Chordata; Mammalia; Carnivora; Felidae
Exons: 6
Source: RefSeq, a predicted model, not a curated record
CUGCACUGUUUUGUGCAAAUGCAGUGGGUUUAUGAUCAGUACUGCCUUUAUCUAUAAAGCUGCUAACUUUCCAGCCUUGAAGAGAAAAGAUAAUGUCAGCUGCCAGAGUUGUGAUUGUAUGGCAAGGAGGCCUGGACGAUGAGAACCCUUUUUCUGAAUUGGUUCCACCAAUGUUUCUUUCUGAAGCCAGGAAGUAACUUGCCAGUAAGAAACCACCUUUUAAAGGUGAUCUUGGACAAUGCACUUGCGCCCCAUGCCCGCCCCCCAGCUCCUCCACUGAGCCCCAUGAAUUCAACACUGAAGAUGUCAAAGUGAUCUACCUGCCCACAAACACAAUGUCUCCAAUUUGGCCUCUUGAUCAGUCUUAAGGACCUUUAAGGCUCAUUACACACAGUACUACAUGGAAAGGAUUGUCCGUGUUCUAGAAGAGAAUCCAAACCAGACAUCAUAAAAGUCUGGAAGGAUUACACCAUUGAAGAUGCCACCGUUGUUUCAGAAGAAGCCAUGGAAACCAUCUAGCCUGAAGCAGUGAAUUCCUGCUGGGGAAAACUGUGUCUAGAGGUUGUAUAUGACUUCACAGGAUUUAUGAUAGAGAUUAUGACAUAGAAAUCGAAGAAAUCAUGAAAUAGAUUGUGGACAUGGCAAAAAGGCCAGGAGGUAAAGGGCUUCUUGGAGAAAUUCCAGAAUUAAUAGGCACCACACCAGAUGAAUUAAGAGUUGUCUUGACGGACAUGAGUCGUCUUCAUGAACAAAUUGACGUUAGAUAAUCUGGCAGAAGCAUCCUGAUUUAUUCAAGACUGCUUUUGACCUCCUUUACAACAUGGACCCUUCUAUGAUAUGGGUGCUGAAACUAAAGUACGUAGAGGAAGAAAGAUUGGUAUUGUACAGAAAGCUUUUUAGAGAAAUGAAAGAGCAAAAAAAGGUCAAAUUAUGAAAUAUGUAUUUCUGUAAAGUUGCACCCGCCUCUUCUGCCUUCCUUUCUACCUUCUGCUCCUCUUCCCCCCCAUCACCCCUCGUCCUCCUCAGUCUACCCAACAGGAAGAUGAUGACAAUAAAGACCUUUAGGAUGAUCCACUUCCAUUUAGUGAAGAGUAAGUAAUCAUUAUGCUGCACCAUUAAUAAACAUCCGUUGUGUCUUCAUGUGAAAAUACAAUAACUGUAUGGUAAGAACUAUGCGAAACAUUUUCUGUCCUCCUCCUCAUCACUGCUUAAGUAUUCAUCACGUAGAAUAUCACAAACCAGAUUUGUAUGGAAGUGGAUAGCCUAUCCUUUCACAGGCAUGGGGUCAGUGAUAUUUAACAUAAAAUUAAUAAUGUGUUAGUUAUCUUACUGUUUUAUAACUUUGCUUUCAAAGAAUUACCACACAAUAUCUCUGACUGCCAUCUUUCUCUCCCUCUCUCCAUACCCUGCCUUCUCCCCCCGCCCCCCACCUAUAACUGGAGAAACUAUGUAUCAGCCUGUCAUCACAGAGAGUGAGCAAGCAGAAGAGGGACAGAAAGAGGAAGAGGGAGAAACCCAAGCACGCCCCACACUCAACGCUGAGCCCAGUGCAGGACUCAACCUCACAACCUUGAGAUCGUGACCUGAGCUGAAAUGAAGAGUCAGACGCCCAACCAUCUGAGCCACCCAGCAUUAAUGAAGUCAUUGCGUGGCUAAACCUUGUUCUGAAGACAGCUUCAGUCUCAAGGAAGAAGAUAACCUGGACUCCUAUUCUGAAAGACUUGACCCGUAAUAUAAAUCAGGGCACAAACAACAGCACUGUCCAGUUGCAAUGACUAUCAUGAUGAGCCCCUGACCUUCAGCACUGAGUGCAAUUGAUCUAGCUAUUACUGUUUACUUAAUGGAAAAAUCUCUCUCCUGCUUUCAGAUUUGUCCCAAGGCUUAGCCACAAGAGUAAGAUUUCUUUUUAAAAUAUACCUCUUGUGCACUAAGAAGCAUGUACAAUUCCAGGUUUUAGAGAUUUAGCAGUGAAUAAGACAACCGGAGGAUAAAUGACAGAAGGGAUAUCUGAGGCCUGGAGCGUGUACAGGGAAAGAGCUCUGACCAUGUCCAAAGUCAGGGUGUGCACACCCUACACAUCACUGAGUAUUUCACCUCUCAUUUGCUAUAUGCAGAAGCACAGGAACCCAUCCACCCUUGCUCAAGGAGUCAUGGUUUUGGAAGUUAUUCCCUACGAUCGCCUUAUGUGCUGCAAAUAAAGUUUCCUCUGUUUGACGACUCACCCGAUGCAGUUUCUAUCUGUGACUCACCAAGGAGUGAACUCACAUUAGUUCGGUUACAAUAGAGGGAGCGGCUAUCACCUGCUGACCUCACAUAGGUAGAUUCUACUUAAUUUUGCUGAUCGUCUUUCUCCUCACACGAAGAUGUAAACUCUGUGAAGAGAGUUUUCCUGUCUGUUUUGUUCAUGACCCCAUUCCCGGUGGGAGAACAGUGUCUGAUAACCACUAGGUGCUCAGUGAGUGUUUUUUAAAGAAAUCACUGGUCUGAAUGAUUGUAA